Molecule: ribosomal RNA, 253 nt
Filed under: uncultured bacterium
Lineage: Bacteria
Description: partial 16S ribosomal RNA
Rfam family: Bacterial small subunit ribosomal RNA
Source: RNAcentral
GACGGAGGGUGCAAGCGUUGUUCGGAUUGACUGGGCGUAAAGGGCGUGUAGGCGGUUGGCCAAGUCUGAUGUGAAAGCCCGAGGCUCAGCCUCGGAAGUGCGUCGGAAACUAGUCGGCUGGAGCGCGAUAGAGGAGGGUGGAAUUCCUGGUGUAGCGGUGAAAUGCGCAGAUAUCAGGAGGAACACCAAUGGCGAAGGCAGCACUCUGGGACGUGACUGACGCUGAGACGCGAAAGCGUGGGGAGCAAACAGG